Molecule: ribosomal RNA, 463 nt
Filed under: uncultured bacterium
Lineage: Bacteria
Description: partial 16S ribosomal RNA
Rfam family: Bacterial small subunit ribosomal RNA
Source: RNAcentral
GAUGAACGCUGACAGAAUGCUUAACACAUGCAAGUCUUUGGCGAAGCUGUGCUUGCACAGCCUAGCCAAGGCGGACGGGUGAGUAACGCGUAAGGAACUUGCCCUGCAGUCAGGGAUAACAGACGGAAACGACUGAUAAGACCUGGUAAAGUCAGGCGGACUCAUGUCCAGCCUGAUGAAAAGAGAUGCUGCAGGAGAGCCUUGCGUCCUAUUAGCUUGUUGGUGGGGUAACGGCCCACCAAGGCGAUGAUAGGUAGCCGGCCUGAGAGGGUGGACGGCCACAAGGGGACUGAGAUACGGCCCUUACUCCUACGGGAGGCAGCAGUGGGGAAUAUUGGACAAUGGGGGCAACCCAGAUCCAGCAAUUCUGUGUGCACGAUGAAGGUUUUCGGAUUGUAAAGUGCUUUCAGCAGGGAAGAAAAAAAUGACGGUACCUGCAGAAGAAGCGACGGCUAAAUACGUG